Long non-coding RNA from Cylas formicarius (sweet potato weevil), 4303 nucleotides. RefSeq lists it as uncharacterized. The record is from RefSeq and is a predicted model, not a curated record. Lineage: Eukaryota; Metazoa; Arthropoda; Insecta; Coleoptera; Brentidae. The transcript is spliced from 2 exons.
UGUAAUCUCACAGUGCAUUGUAAAUUCUCUAAUAAAUAGAUUUAUAUGGAAGUGUCACUCCCCAAGUUCUAAAUAUACACCAAUAAACACCCUCGCGAUUCAAUGCUAAGGAUCGCCAUUUAAGUUGCUCGCAGUUGCAAGAUUUGUUUUGUAGUAGUAGUCGUUGCGGUUCGAUCGGGGGGCUGAUAAAGUACUGCCAAACUGUAUAUUUCAGACAAAAUCAAGUGCGAGAAGUGCCUCAAAUUCUACAAGAACAAGGAGUCGUUGAGAGUGCACCGGAAGCUCGACUGCGCGAACAAGUCGGCAUUCCCCUGCCCUGUCGAGGGGUGCCAGAAGACGUUCUCGAGAAAUUUCGGUGUUAAAUUGCAUGUACAAAAAUGUCACCACUAACCUGGGAGCCUGGGCGGAAACCGCGUCGACUCACGAAACCGAUUUUUCUAGAGCAAUGCCCGAGAUGUUCCAAGUUUUACAAGAACGUCGAGUCCCUCAAGUCCCAUCUCAGACAGGUGUGCCAAAAGGAAACAAGCGAGCGAUGCCACCUGUGCCCGAGAGCGUUCAAAAGACGAAGCAAGCUCAACCAGCACCUGGUGACUGUCCACAAAGUACUACCGACAACUUAAAUAUAUUUUCCUACCACGUGUACGUGUUGCAAAUAAAAUAUCGGUUCUGGUACGACCCGACUCAUUUCAUUUAGGUUGCCACGGCGUGGGCGUUCCGGCAUAGCGAUCGAUGCAGGUGCGGUAAUUCCAAUGUGCGACAGUACGCUUGAUUCCACUAUUAACCGGGGUGUUUGUAGUUGGCUCGAUGCGGUUUUUCUGUGACGCUUGUGGCAAGUCGUACACCAUAAAAAAUAAUCUGAGGAGGCACCAGAGGGUCGAGUGCGGUAAGGAGAAGAGUAUGGUGUGUCACAUCUGCGAGCACAGGUUCUACUACAAGCAGGAACUCGACACCCACUUUAGAAUCAAGCACAACAUCCUGUUCAAUCCUAACAGAUACCGAUAAAUCCAAUUCUUGUUAAGACUGACGUUGCUUGUUAGCGCUUAGACGCCAAAGAUUGUUCGCUCUCUCCCUCUCUGGUAACCGACUAACCAAACCUAACAAUAAAACCGUAGAGAAUCGAGCAAUUUCACUUAACUCCACCCUUCGCAUCUUGUUUUAUCGGCAACCGGCGGUACUCUUAACGGUUAAUUUCAGAGUACUUCGAGUGUCCGGACUGCGGGAAAUGGUACCGGCAUAAGAAGAACAUGGCUCGCCACCGGAAGUAUGCGUGCCAAACCAGAAUCAUCUUUUGUCCCACUUGUCUUAAGAGCUUCACCAGGAAGUCGACGCUGGACUACCACAAGUGCCCGAGAAAAUGACCGCCCUUCCCAUUCCCACACAAUGUGCCUGACUAUGAUAAAAAUAAAAUAUUUUUGCUAGCGUUUUGGUCUUAGUACUUCUAGGGCGUUCCGUCGCUUCAAAUGUGCUUAUGUCCUUUUUUUUAGGGGAAUUUCUGCCAAACUUUUGCGCUAACUGCGGCAAGGUGCGUGACAUCGGGCACCCAAAGCGCUCGCUUCAAAGGACCAAAUUUUUUUGUAGGUGUAUACGACCAAAGGGAAUCUCAGGCGCCACCUGACGUGGGAGUGCGGCAAAAAUCCCACCAGACGGUGCGCUCUGUGCACCUUCGAAGCCAAGCAUCUGUCCAGCCUCAAACGCCACCUAAAAAGGAAACACCAUGUCGAUGCGAAAUAAAAGAUUCACGGUAUAUGCGUUUUUUAGUAGCGCGGUACUCCACUUCACUAGUGAAAGAACCAAACGAUGCCAUGCACGACACUAUAGUGACCUCUUUCAGGACGGUUCCCGUGCCAACGAUGCGACAAAAUAUAUAAGUCGAGGACAGCUUUGGGCAGGCACGUACGGUACGAUUGCGGCAAAGAAAAAAGAUUCGCUUGUACCGUACCGGCCUGCGCUUACAAAGCAUUCCAGAAGGUCCACCUCGUAAGUCACAUGAUUAGCGUACACAAGGUGCUGCCCGGUGCACCCAAGUAGCGUGUUGGUACCCCGCAGGGAAAUGGCGCUCGUUUUUGCACCCCUUUUUAUCUAGGAAAUUUUAGUAGUACCCAGUAGUUAGUGUGUGAUCCGUUGUACCGUAGAUUCAGGUAGUCGUCGUGUCUCAUUCGCAUUGGGUACCGAUUAGCAAUAACUGGUCGGUUGUUUUAGUACCGGUGCCUGAGUACGACCUUUGGAAUAAGACGAGCGACGUCAAACCCAACCUCAUCAUGUCGAAGGAGGACAAGUUCAAGUGCAAGCACAAGCACUGCCGCUUUGUAACUGACAGGCGGGAGGUGCUGAUCAUGCACAUCCUCAACCAUGACGACGACGAGUGACGUCGUCGUGUUUUCUGUCUGUAGUACAUUGUACCGUGUGUGUUCGAUGUGUGUGUGCGUGUGUCAAUCGCAACAAUCAAACUGUGCAUGUUUUUUGCUAAAGCGAAUAUAUCUGUGUAGUCUGGUGGAACGGUUGUUUUAUUGCAUUUAUCGGGAGAAAGCGCACCAAACCGUCAUCUAUCUACGUCGGUAGUGCUAAUGAUACACUCCCUCCAUCCUCUGGGGGAGAUCCUGGGAUAUCACCAUUACAGAUUCCAGGGAUUUAGUCUUGCUACUUUAUGAAUGGCAGUACAGCAUACAGAUGACAGAUGGUAGCACAAAUGAAAUCACAGAUUCCUAACUAACCAGCACAACAUACAGAUUCCUAACCAAACUGACUCGCGGUCUUUAUUUUAGGCAAACCUUUCGUAUGUAAUAGGUGCUACAAGUCCUAUCGCCACGCCCCUUCGCUAUACACCCACCAGAAGUACGAGUGCGGCAAGAAACCAUUGUUCAAGUGCGAGUUUAUGGGUUGCCAGUAUGCCACCAAGCUCAAGGGAAACCUGAAAAAACACGUCGCGAGGACUAGGCACUGGUGAUGCCGCGACCGCUGUGCGUCUCUAUUUAUAACACUAAACUUUAACCCAUUUGUGGCUAACAACCCGCAUGCUUCUGUAUCUGCUAGGAGGCGGGUAGGGCGGUGCUAACCCGACCCCACCCAUUACCGCCACCUUUGCUCAAUUUCUUUAGGUGUUGAGGUCGGAGUAAAACUUAUUGGCGAGAUACGCAAACCUUUCCCUUCCCGUAGAAACAUUGAAGACGGUUUUGGUUUCAGAGCCGAAACCUUACGUGUGCGCAAACUGCGGCAAAGGGUACCUCCGUCACCACACAAUGACACGUCACCUCAAAUUCGAGUGCGGCAAAGAGAAAAGCUUCGCAUGCGGGCACUGCGACUACUCGACGCACCACAAAUACCACCUGAAAAACCACAUUUUCGCCAGACACGGCGUGAUCCGCUAAGACUACAGCGCCGUUUGUUUCAGAGGGAUUGUUUCCGUGCCCGAACUGCGCGAGGAUGUACAAACUCAAGUCGAAUUUGGGAAGACACCUGAGAUUGGAGUGCCAGAAGCCGAAAUCAUUCGCCUGCGACUACUGCGCAUACGCGGCCUACCAGAAGUCUAACCUACUGAUUCACAUCAAGCGGAAGCAUUUCGCCAAUCGUUUUCAAUAAAUUACGUUUGAGACUUUGAGUGUUUGUUUUUACCGUCACCUGCGAGAAGAGAGCUGUGACCACACUCUAACGGCGGGCGUUUGUCGUAGCCAUACACCAAUGCCCGAAAUGCACCAACGUGUACAAGAGGGAGGACAGUCUCAAGCGCCACCUACGCAUCGAGUGCCAAAAGGACGGAAGGUACGCUUGCGUGGGUUGCCGGAAGACCUUCAAGCACCGAUUCGUGUUCACCAGACACGAGAAAAUGUGUUUUUCCGGGACGAAUAAAGUGUAACUUUUAAAAUCCGCAGUUUGACUCGUUUCCGAACUCUUCCUCACGCACUGUCUCGCGUUUUCCUGAAACCGAAGGUCUGUUUCAGAUAUCAUGCGGUACUUCUGUCGGUGCGGCAAAAACUACAAGAAUCGGGAGAGCCUGUCCCGCCACAAGAGGGAGUGCGGGUCGGAGAAGAGUCUCGCGUGCCCCAACUGCGACUACAAGACACACCGCAGCGACACGCUCAGGCGUCACAUGGUCGUCCAUUUGUAAUAAAUUUCUUAACAGUACCUGAAACCCACGGAGAGGCAUACGACUUUGGCUGCGGCGGUACUUUUGUCAGUGCGGCAAAAACUACAAGAACCCUGAGAGCCUGUGUCGGCACAAGAAGGAGUGCGGCUCGGAAAAACGAUAUACGUGUCCCCACUGCAACUACAAGAGCCACCGAAAUGAUAAUCUCAAACGACACAUGAU